This 764-nucleotide non-coding RNA is filed under the name Junonia orithya. Lineage: Eukaryota; Metazoa; Arthropoda; Insecta; Lepidoptera; Nymphalidae. The record is from RNAcentral.
UAUGUUUUUGGAAAUUUAUUAUAAAUUUAUUUUACAUAUAAAUUUUAGUGUAUAAUUUUAAUUAUUUAAAUAAUAAUUGAUUUAUUUUAGUAGUAAUUAAUAUUAAAAAUUUAAGAAAUUAAGAUUUAGUAAUAUAAAAAUUAAUAACUAAUUUUGUGCCAGCAGUUGCGGUUAGACAAAAAUUAAAUUAAAUUAUUUCAGUAUAUAAUAAAUAAUAAAAUCAUUAAAAUAAAUAUUGAAUUAUUAAGUGAAAUUUUAAUUUAAUUAAAUUUUAUUUUAAAUUUAUGAUUUAAUAAAUUUUAAUAUAAACUAGGAUUAGAUACCCUAUUAUUAAAAAUUUAAUUUAUAAUACUAAAAUAGUAAAUAAUAAUUUAUUGAAACUUAAAUAACAUGGCGGUAUUUUAGUUCAUUUAGAGGAAUCUGUCUAAUAAUUGAUAAUCCACGAAUAAAUUUACUUAAUUUAUAAUUUUGUAUAUCAUUGUUAAAAAAAUAUUUUUUAGGAAAAAUAAUAUUUAAAAAUUAUAAUAAAAAUUAAAUCAGAUCAAGAUGCAGAGUAUAAUUAAGAAUAUGAUGGAUUACAUUAAAUAUAUUUAUAUGAAUAAUUUUAUUGUAAUAAAAAUUUGAAGGUGGAUUUAAAUGUAAUUUUAAUUAAUUUAUUAAAAUGAUUAAAAAUUAAAAUAUGUACAUAUUGCCCGUCACUUUCAUUUAAAAAUUGAAAUAAGUCGUAACAAAGUAGAGGUACUGGAAAGUGUUUCUAGAAAGAU